UAGGGACUUCAAAGCACCUUGCACAUGUCAGGCCUUCCCACCGACCUGUUACAUUUGGCCCACGAGACUGAUCCUGAUAAGGAUCUGGCCCAUGGAGCCAAAAAGUUGCCCACCCCAAUUUACAGAAAACAAGGCUUGAAAAUGCAACAUUAUGCUGAUGACUCAGCUCUUGCAAUAAACACCAGAAAUUCCUAGGAAGUGCUAUGAAAGAUAAUUGGGCAAAUCUUCCAUUAUCAUGGUUGGGGGAAAAUUUGUUUUGACCAAUAUGGAUGUAUACCAAAAAAUAUUGUUUCUCUGUAUGAAUAGACAUGAUUGUAGAGGCCUGACUGAAUAAUUUUAGAGUGGUGGCAGGAAACCAUUUGGAAAAUUUGGAAUGGAGAACCAAGACUGACUGAAAAAGCUUUGUUCAUUUCUAAAUGCCAUGGCGGGAUUGGAUUACUGGUUUUUAAACUACUAUAUUAUUAUGCUUAAAAAUUAGUGGUAAUAGAAGAUUGGUUCACAUGGGACAAAACAACUUGCUGAAAACAAGAUGGAGUUAAUAUAUCAUGGACCGUUUGCAACUGGAGAGGUAGCUUAAUGCAAGGGUUUCUGUUUGUGCAACAGAACUUUUCUUCUGUGUUCCUUCUCCCAAAUCUGCUCUGAAGGAUUGGGGAUUUGGAGAGCAUGCUGUGGGGGUGGCAGGGUGGAGAAGCAAAUUCCUUGGGGGAAGCCAUGACUUAUAAUGUUACAAUACGAGUUUAAAUGUAUAGUGUUGAUGGGGUGUUUGAUAUUCUUUAAAUGCCAAACAAAUGCCUUCUUCUCCCCCAGCAUUCCAGCAUGUUGUGUAGUUGCUUUUAGUUGUGUCUGAUGGGUUCUGAUGGAUUUUACAUUAUUGGCUGGUGGUGGCUGCAGCUUUAUUGAUUUGCUUUGUGCCUGGUCUUUACGUGUGUUUUUAUAAUUUUAAAAGUUUGUCAGCCUAGAAGCAUUAUGCCAAAGGUCAGCUUAUAUAUUUACAGCAAUCAAUCAAUAAGCAAAUAAAUGCAUCUUAGAAAAAUUAAUAGUAGCUCUCAAAAUAAUGGGACAUGCAUAGAAAUCUUCAGAUUUGGAAAAAAAGCAGCUUGAAAACUGUAUCCAGACAUAUCACCAUCAUGGUUUAAUUGUUUUUUUCAUUUUAUAUUUCCUGUUGCUUAGAAAGAAAUAGGAUUCUACCAAGAGGCUGGUGCUGUACAAAUAAGUCAUGUUUCUGUGAACUGCAUAUUUCCAAACCCCAUCUUAGAGGCUGACUCAGUGGUGUAGCGUGGGGGGUGCAGGGGAGGCCGGCCGCACCGGGCGCAACAUCUGGGGGGGGGCGCGCUCGCACUCGCAGCUCUCUGCCCCUACCUGGCUCACUCACUCUCUCUCACUGCAGUGCUGGCUGUGCGAAUCCGAUCUGAGCCGCUGGGUCGCCGCUCACUGUGGAGGGGGUGGGUGCCAGGCGUGCGGUGCAGAGAGAGAGCGAGGGACUAUCUGGGGGAGGGACAGUGCAGUGGCUGCCCAGCGCAGCGCUGAGCGCGGGAGAGAACCACACCAGACCAGACCAGGCAGCAGCAAGAAGAAGCUGGCAGCGGCGGCAGGUUAGGGGUUAGGGGGCGCAAAUUACUUGCCUUGCCCCGGGUUAGGGGGCACAAAUUACUUGCCUUGCCCCGGGUUAGGGGGCGCAAAUUACUUGCCUUGCCCCAGGUGCUGACAACCCACGCUAUGCCGCUGGGCUGACUGAUACCAUAAAGAAAAUGGCAAAUCCAGGUUAUUUGGGGAAAGGGGUUGGUAAAGUGAGAAAUAUGAUUUGGAGGGAGCUGGGAGGUGAGGUCUAAGAAGUGGAAAGUGGUAAAUGAUUUGCAGCAAUGUCUUGGCUCCAGGCGUGGAGCUGGCUUUAUGUCUCCGAAUAAGGUCACAUCCAUUUUGUACGAUUAAAUUUAACCUGAUUGAAUAAUAUCAGAGGUGGUUUGUUUGUUUGUUUGUUUGUUUGUUUGUUUGUUUGUUUGCAGAAACUAACAUGGAAAGUUUCUGAGGUCUACAGAAAAGUAACAAGAAAAUUAUGUCUGUUCCAACAGUAAAAAUUCCUGAAAUAGGGACUCGCCUCAGAAACCAUGAUCCUCAACAAAGUGGUUCUAUACAUCCCCCCCCCCCAAAAAGGCCUGUAGAUAGAUAUCUAUCCUGUAGAUAGGGAGAGAACCACUUGUCACAAAGCAGAUGAGUCAAAGAAAUUGUAUUCAGGCAUGAACCGUGAUGCACCAGUAGUCAUAAUACUAUUCCAAAUCCUAGUCAAUAAUGUUUUUUUCAGGACAGAGAUUGAUUUUAUUAUUACUAGCUUUUAAGAUGCAAUGGCCGGGGGGAGUUCCUCGAGACAAACUGUCACCAUGUAAUUAAAUGAUGUACAGGGGGUAUAAUGAAAUAUCUUAUUAAUGCCAUUAUCUGUUAUUGCAGCACAGCAUGUAUCUCAUAAAUCUUUGUAAUUAUUCUAAUGCAGCAGUUUCUCCCCACCUGAACUAUGAUUAUCUGCAGUUCCUGAUUAGCCAGAUUUUCUUGUGAGAUUCCCUGUGUCAGAAUAACUCUUAAUUAAGCUGUACCCUCAUUCAUUUUGACUUCUAAUUAUCUAAAUGUUCUGGCCUUCUUCUAAGUCGCCAAGGUCAAUGAUAUUAGACUGUGUGUGAUUCUUAAGAGAGCAUUCUCUGGCGGUUUAUGCCGUUCUGCUCUGUUAGUAGCCACUGGCCAUGCUUUUUAAAGGCCAUUAACAAAACCAUAAAUAGGACAAUAUUAAGCAAAUGGUGUGUGUGUGUGUGUGUGUGUGUGUGUGAGAGAGAGAGAGAGAGAGAGAGAGAGGGAGAGAGAGAUACAGUUCAUUAAAGGCUUUAGGAUUAGGCAGAGUUAUCUCAGUUUGAUUAUCCAGUCAAACUGGAGCUCAACUCUGCCUCCCCAACCCCUUUUAAUUCUCAUUUAAUGUAGACAGUAGCUGAGAUGCAGUGUUGGGCAAAACAUCUUCAUCUUAAUUAAACUGUUUCUGGGUCUUUUGUUAGCCUUUUUGGAGAAUUCCCAGAAAAAGCUCAGGGGGUUUCCUUCCUCUAGUCACCAGCCCACCUGUUUGGAAAUGUAGGAAAGAUGGGAUGAAGGAGAAGAGAAAGGCUGGUAGACGAGAGGGCUGACAUUAGGUAAUCACAAGCGGAGGCCAUCUUUAAAAGUAUGAGGAUAGCUUGGCUUGGGAUGGUUCAGGGAAAUCCUGUCUGAGUUAAUUUCACAACCCCAUUUCCAAAAUUCUUCUCCAUUCCUACUUAACCAGGAAGCUUUAAGCCAGUCACAGCCCAACCCUAUCCAUGCUUACUCUGAAGCAAAUCCCAGUGAUUUAAAUGGGAUUUACUCCCCAAUAAGUGUGCAUUGGAUUACAGUCUUUACUCUCUCUUAGUCUCAGAUGCCCACCUGUACCAUGGGAGGAUACUGGUCUACCUAACAAAAUUAUUAUCAGGAUGACUGAGAUAAUGUUACCUAAAACACCCUGAACACUAUAUACGUGGAAAUAAUUAGUAACGCCCACUACCACUGGCUUUUAUGAAAUUAACAAUGGGCAGUAUGUUCUUAGCUUUCGGGCUUGGGUCUGUAUAGCUCAAAGCCCAUUAUUUUCUUAGCAUUCAGUAACUAAGCAUUAGCUUCUUGAACCCCAACUAGAUGUGUGCUAGGGCAAUAGAUUGCUGUCAGUCUUUCCUCCCAGUAAGGAUUUCAGUUCCAUAUGCCCCCCGCUUACCCCAACAGAAAUAGGCUUCUUUUCAUUUAGAUAGCAUCACUGAACUGAGUCGUUAAAACAUGUUUUCUGUUUGCAGCCAGAAUGAAUUCAUGUCAUGCUGAGAAAAUAAAUCAGACAGAAGAAAGAGUUCUAAGACACCCAGCAAAGCUGUUGU
Podarcis lilfordi (Lilford's wall lizard) is the source of this 3905-nucleotide non-coding RNA. Lineage: Eukaryota; Metazoa; Chordata; Lepidosauria; Squamata; Lacertidae. The record is from the annotation of a GenBank genome assembly.